This 253-nucleotide ribosomal RNA is filed under the name uncultured bacterium. RNAcentral describes it as "partial 16S ribosomal RNA". It matches the Rfam family "Bacterial small subunit ribosomal RNA", at positions 524 to 776 of the family's 1533-position model. The record is from RNAcentral.
UACGUAGGGGGCAAGCGUUGUCCGGAAUCAUUGGGCGUAAAGCGCACGUAGGCGGCCCUGUAAGUCCGUUGUGAAAGUCAAAGGCUCAACCUUUGAAUGCCGAUGGAUACUGCAGGGCUAGAGUCCGGAAGAGGCGAGUGGAAUUCCUGGUGUAGCGGUGGAAUGCGCAGAUAUCAGGAGGAACACCGGUGGCGAAGGCGGAUCUCUGGGCCUUACCUGACGCUCAGGCGCGAAAGCUAGGGGAGCGAACAGG